RNA transcript from Apis cerana (Asiatic honeybee), 909 nucleotides. It is a transcript of the gene named ADP ribosylation factor-like 2, with no coding region annotated. Lineage: Eukaryota; Metazoa; Arthropoda; Insecta; Hymenoptera; Apidae. The record is from RefSeq and is a predicted model, not a curated record.
CACAAUUAUAUUUACACAUUCUGGAACAUAGAUAAUGCGUGUAUAAAAUUGUGAUUAGUGAUAUUUUUGUAAUUAAUAAUGGGUUUGUUAACAGUACUUAAAAAAUUAAAACAAAAGGAAAAAGAAAUGCGCAUUUUAAUGUUAGGUUUGGAUAAUGCUGGCAAAACAACAGUUUUAAAGAGAAUUAAUGGGGAACCAAUUGACACAAUAUCACCAACACUUGGUUUCAAUAUUAAAACUUUAGAACAUCGUGGGUAUAAAUUAAAUAUAUGGGACGUAGGUGGUCAAAAAUCAUUACGUUCUUAUUGGAGAAAUUAUUUUGAAUCUACUGAUGGUCUUGUAUGGGUAAUUGAUAGUGCAGAUAGAAGAAGAUUGGAAGAUUGUAAAAUAGAAUUAUAUAAACUCUUACAAGAGGAGAGAUUAGAAGGUGCAAGUUUAUUAAUACUUGCAAAUAAACAGGAUUUACCUGGAGCAUUGUCUGCAUCUGACAUUGCAGAAAUUUUGGAAUUACCUACUAUUAAGACUCACCAUUGGCAAAUAUACAAAUGUUCAGCAAUCACAGGAGAAAAUCUUGUAGAAGGAAUAAAUUGGAUUAUUGAUGAUAUUUCUGCUAGGAUAUUUUAUAUAGAUUAAUAUCAAAAAAGAAAUUAAAUUUUACAACUUACAUUGCUAAUAUUAUAAUGUUUUAUAAUACAAUAUGUUUAUUUCUUAUAUAUUAGAAAGCAGAGUUAUUAUAUAAUUAUACUUUAUUUAAAUUAUUAAAAUUAAGGUUUUUCUGUUGGAAGUUUUGUAUUCGGAUAUUGUUUCAUAUAAACAGAUUUUAAUAAGCCUUGAUCAACGGUAUUUUUUAUACCAGUAAAUGCAAUCAUUAGUUCAUUUAAUAAAGAUUUAGAUAAGUUUAAUUGGAAA